RNAcentral lists this unclassified non-coding RNA (391 nucleotides) under soil metagenome. Its description in RNAcentral is "partial contains 5.8S ribosomal RNA, internal transcribed spacer 2, and large subunit ribosomal RNA". The stretch from base 1 to 122 matches the Rfam family "5.8S ribosomal RNA", at positions 35 to 154 of the family's 154-position model. The record is from RNAcentral.
GAUGAAGAACGUAGCGAAAUGCGAUACUUGGUGUGAAUUGCAGAAUCACGUGAACCAUCGAGUCUUUGAACGCAAGUUGCGCCCGAAGCCAUUAGGCCGAGGGCACGCCUGCCUGGGCGUCACACGUCGUUGCCCCCCCAUCUACUCCUUCGGGAUUGCGGGGGGCGGAUGAUGGCCUCUCGUGCGCCUCGUCGCGCGGUUGGCCUAAAUGCCAAGUCCUCGGCGACGCACGCCACGACAAUCGGUGGUUGCGAAACCUCGGUUGCCUGUCGUGUGCGGUCGUCGCGCAUCGAGGGCUCGAAAAAAUUGCCGGGCUUCGGCUCGACUUUCAACGCGACCCCAGGUCAGGCGGGGUUACCCGCUGAAUUUAAGCAUAUCAAUAAGCGGAGGA